CCUGGCUCAGAUUGAACGCUGGCGGCAUGCCUAACACAUGCAAGUCGAACGGCAGCAUCAUCUAGCUUGCUAGAUAGAUGGCGAGUGGCGAACGGGUGAGUAACGCGUAGGAAUAUACCUUAAAGAGGGAGGCAACUUGGGGAAACUCAAGCUAAUACCGCAUAAUUUCUUAGGAAAAAAGCUGGGGACCGUAAGGCCUGGCGCUUUAAGAUUAGCCU
Molecule: ribosomal RNA, 218 nt
Filed under: uncultured bacterium
Lineage: Bacteria
Description: partial 16S ribosomal RNA
Rfam family: Bacterial small subunit ribosomal RNA
Source: RNAcentral